GACGAACGCUGGCGGCGUGCUUAACACAUGCAGGUCGAGCGAUGAAGUUUCUUCGGAAAUGGAUUAGCGGCGAACGGGUGAGUAACACGUGAGGAAUCUGCCCUUCACUUUGGAAUAACUCCGGGAAACCGGAGCUAAUACCGGAUACGAACUCUGGCGGCAUCGCCGGGGUUGGAAAGUUUUUCGGUGAAGGAUGACCUCGCGGCCUAUCAGCUUGUUGGUGAGGUAAUGGCUCACCAAGGCGACGACGGGUAGCCGGCCUGAGAGGGCGACCGGCCACACUGGGACUGAGACACGGCCCAGACUCCUACGGGAGGCAGCAGUGGGGAAUAUUGGGCAAUGGGCGAAAGCCUGACCCAGCGACGCCGCGUGCGGGAUGAAGGCCUUCGGGUUGUAAACCGCCUUCAGCAGGGAAGAAGCGAAAGUGACGGUACCUGAAGAAGAAGCACCGGCUAACUAUGUGCCAGCCGCCGCCGUAA
RNAcentral lists this ribosomal RNA (479 nucleotides) under uncultured bacterium. RNAcentral's name for it is "partial 16S ribosomal RNA". It matches the Rfam family "Bacterial small subunit ribosomal RNA", at positions 28 to 523 of the family's 1533-position model. The record is from RNAcentral.